RNAcentral lists this ribosomal RNA (515 nucleotides) under uncultured bacterium. Its description in RNAcentral is "partial 16S ribosomal RNA". It matches the Rfam family "Bacterial small subunit ribosomal RNA", at positions 28 to 523 of the family's 1533-position model. The record is from RNAcentral.
GAUGAACGCUGGCGGCGUGCCUAAUACAUGCAAGUCGAGCGAAUGGAUUAAGAGCUUGCUCUUAUGAAGUUAGCGGCGGACGGGUGAGUAACACGUGGGUAACCUGCCCAUAAGACUGGGAUAACUCCGGGAAACCGGGGCUAAUACCGGAUAACAUUUUGAACCGCAUGGUUCGAAAUUGAAAGGCGGCUUCGGCUGUCACUUAUGGAUGGACCCGCGUCGCAUUAGCUAGUUGGUGAGGUAACGGCUCACCAAGGCAACGAUGCGUAGCCGAUCUGAGAGGGUGAUCGUCCACACUGUGACUGAGACACGGCCCAGACUCCUACGGGAGGCAGCAGUAGGGAAUCUUCCGCAAUGGGCGAAAGUCUGACGGAGCAACGCCGCGUGAGUGAUGAAGGCUUUCGGGUCGUAAAACUCUGUUGUUAGGGAAGAACAAGUGCUAGUUGAAUAAGCUGGCACCUUGACGGUACCUAACCAGAAAGCCACGGCUAACUACGUGCCAGCCGCCGCGGUAA